CUAGAACUACUAGAAAUGCUAGAACUUCUUACUGCUAUACGGACUUAAAUGAGGAGCCAAGGAGAAAAAGAUUAAAUUCAUUUCUAAGGGAUAAUACUGAAACUGGCCAAGAGCAGUCUGACCUAGAUCAAUAUAACAAUGAACCAUUGUUGAGUUGGAAAGAAGGUGAAUACUUCGACAUUUUGAGCUGGUGGAAGGCCCAUGGUGCAAAAUAUCCUAUCCUCGCUCGAGUUGCAAGGGAUGUUUUGGCUAUCCCUACGACAACAGUAGCAUCUGAAUCUGCAUUCAGUUCUGGAGGAAGAGUUGUUCACAAAUAUCGUAGCCGUUUGGACCCUCAAGUUGUUGAGGCACUUAUUUGCACCAAGGAUUGGAUAAGAGCAUCAAGGAUAGAUCAAAGUGGCGUACCUUCAAUUCUUGACGAUUUAGCUGGUCUUAGUAUAAAUGAAGUCCAACAAGAUGAAGGUGCUCCUGCUGAUGCUGGUGACACCAUUGUGGAUCUGGAACUGGAAGAAAAUUAGGAUGGCUCUUUCUUUAG
Molecule: long non-coding RNA, 535 nt
Organism: Phragmites australis (common reed)
Lineage: Eukaryota; Viridiplantae; Streptophyta; Magnoliopsida; Poales; Poaceae
Exons: 3
Source: RefSeq, a predicted model, not a curated record